CCAGAGAAUUUGUUUCCCUGAAUCAUCGAGAUGAGACCACUCUUAAUCUUGAAGUUGUUGUUCUGGAUAGCAGGAGGUGCAAUUCCUUUCUUCUAACGAUGGUCCCUUGGUGCAUCUCCAGCACCAAUGUUGACAUGGCCAUUUUGUUGAUUCUUUUCGUCAGUCAUCGAGUGGUUGUUGGGGCAAAAGGUUGACUAUGUUUCUCCUUUCUCUGAGUUCGCGAGCUAUGCGGUCGAUGUUAUCGUUGAAAAGGAGGUUCUGAUUGCCUGUUGAUCGAGUUUGCAUACAGCAGAGGUGUACCUAGAUCAAAAAGACAACAAGAAAAACACACAGUUAGCAACCGAUUUGAAAAUUGAAAAAGAACUUGAUCUAAGCAAGUUUGAAAUCUCAAAUGUAACACACAAACACCCAAUUGGCAACGGCGCCAAAUUGAUAAUAGGUUUUUAGUCAAUUAUCCUAAACCACCAAUCAUGUCGUUGUAGUAUUUUAGGUGUCAAUCCAAAUGGGUGUGAUGCUAACAAUCAAGUUGUGAUCAGAAGUCACUAAAUCAAGCCAAGCAAUAACAGAUUUUGGUGUGUUCUAGCAGUCCUAAGUGAGCAUGCAGAAAACAGAAAAUCAAGUAGAAACAAGAAAACACUCGACCAACACAGCUCGAUGCAGCUCAACACAGGGUGUGGUCGAGUGACAGGUCGAGUAACAGACAUAAAAUGUAACAGGGAUACUCGACUCCAGAGUCUGUUGCCAGACAACUGGGUGGUCGAGUAUCAGGUCGAGUAACAGCAAAGAAUUGCAGGGACUAAGCAACAGAUGACAAGAUGCAGUAAACAACGGUAAAGUAAAUAAUAAAAUCAAUCAGAUAAAGAAUUUCCGAGGAUGGAGUAAUUGAGUAGUUUCGUUUCCUCAGUUUACAGGUGAUUGACAUGCUCAAUAAACUAUCCCUACACAACAAGUUCAUUAACCAAAUCUAAGUGCCACCGCAAUAGAGACCCUCAAGUUAACCUAGUCUCAGACUCAAUCACCAUUGACGAGAGCUAACCUAACAGGCAUUACGAAUCAACAAGUUAAAGCCAAAACGCUCCCUGCAACCAAUACCUUGGUACAGGGUCACGAAUCUCUGGAAUUAGUGGUUCAGACAUUUCAGCGAACACCUUUUGGGCGUGGAAAUGUCUGGGCUCAAAUUCCAGUUGAUCAGAAAUCUAUAGGCAUUAAGAACAACUAACCCAGAAGAGAUCUAUCAAUCAAACUCAACCACCUAGCAUACUGAGAUUCUAAACUACUCUAACCCAUCCUCAGAAACCUAUUCACUACUCAGACAUCAUUGUAGAAAACAUAAACGUUGAAUGA
This 1344-nucleotide small RNA is filed under the name Arabidopsis thaliana (thale cress). RNAcentral describes it as "ATSL276760". Lineage: Eukaryota; Viridiplantae; Streptophyta; Magnoliopsida; Brassicales; Brassicaceae. The record is from RNAcentral.